GGGGGCGACAGGUUUCGACGGAACGGUUGAGGCCGCGGUCGCGUGCGGGGGAGCCGCGUGUACCCCUCAAUUCUCACGGAAAACUCAAACGCCAACAACGACGUUCGUCUCGCGGCCUAGUUAGGCCCCGACGCUGAACCUCCGACGCCUGCUGAGAGGGGACGCGUCAUCUUGCAGGCUGGACCAAGUCCGGGUGGCCGGGACCGAGUCGACACCUACGUGGCCGCUGGCGCAUGAAGUGGCCCGCCUCCGGGCAGCUUCCUGGGCGAGACCCAAACGGAGGAUACGCACGUAGACGCCUCGGUGGCUCCGCUUCGGACGUGGGUUCGAUUCCCACCGCCUCCACCA
Molecule: transfer-messenger RNA, 348 nt
Filed under: bovine gut metagenome
Rfam family: transfer-messenger RNA
About the family: Bacterial tmRNA, also known as 10Sa RNA or SsrA, is named for its dual tRNA and mRNA-like properties.
Source: RNAcentral